Long non-coding RNA from Eriocheir sinensis (Chinese mitten crab), 2419 nucleotides. RefSeq lists it as uncharacterized. The record is from RefSeq and is a predicted model, not a curated record. The transcript is spliced from 2 exons. Lineage: Eukaryota; Metazoa; Arthropoda; Malacostraca; Decapoda; Varunidae.
UUGACUUUGUCGUGCAGUGUUCACUGUAUCGGUGUUGGCGAGGUGGUGGUGGUGGGCGGCCACCUGGUAGCAGCGGGCUGGUCGGUGGCUCACCUGACGCGUGCCGCCACAUGCCGGCCACCUGCCUCCCCUGCUCGCCACCAUUGGUUGCCUCAACCCUCUCCUGCGGAGCUCAUUGGCCGAGCGGGAGCUCUGGUCCCUCCGCUCCUCGCGGGUUGGCUGAGGCGGCGCGUGGCAGGUUGUUUAGCGCACCAGGAUUGGUUCAGGACACGCGUGGAGGGUGCACCUGCCGGCGCCGGGGUAUAUAAGCUCCGGGACGCUGAGGGAAAUCACAACAGCUUCAGUCUGUAGUCGAGGUGGAGCCCCGCGCUGGGCGUCCCGCCGCCGCCCGCACCUCGCUGCCUCCACGGCUGACUCGGCCUCUCAUCCUGGAGGAAGGGUCAGCCCCCCCCCCCCCACCCCAACCCUAGUCAGCUGACGUCACCAGGCGCCAGCUUCCCGGCCCUGACUCUGUGCCGGGCCUCUCCUAGUCACCUCUAGUCUGCCAGGGCCUCCCAGCCCACCCCGGGCAGAGCCGCCAGUCGCCGCCCGCAGCCCACACAUGCAGCUUCUCACCUGAUAUGUCUAGUCGCCCUCGAGGACGGGCCGAGCCCCGGCGUGCGCGGAUGGGCGGGGCUGUGUCCAGGGGAGGGAGUGAGUAUGCAGCCGCCGUCGCCUGACCAGCCCUGCCCCGAGCCCCCGCAUGACGCACGCCUGCUCGGCUCUGUAUCGCGUGGCACCCCCCCCACACCUGGGACCCAUCCCCUCCCAAGGCCCACCUGGGCCUCAGCGGAGGAGUGGAGGUCCCCACGCUUCUAGUCGCCGCCCGUCGAGAUUUGAGCCAGUCAGAGUCUGUAGCAGAUAAGGAAGAAGACCCCUGAGUCAUCGCCGGUCCUGAGGUGCUGAGUCACCCCGCGUCCGCUGCCUCGGCGGGUCUGCCCACUAGUCAUCGCCUAGCGUAAGAGGACGAGUCUCCCACGAGCCGCCCACACCAGCUGAAGUCACUGCUGUGUCUCCUCACCUAUUUAGCCCCCUUUCAGUGUGUCAGUAUUAUACACCGAUCAGUAUUAACCCCUCACCUCCCCCCACCAGUAUUACUCUUGGUCAGUAAGAUCACUUUGUACCUGCCCCCAGUACCAGUACUCACCCACCAGCAGUACAGUAUUACUCUAGUUCAUAAGUUAAGCUUCUGCAGUAUUAUGCAUUAACUUGCAGCUUUCCUAGAUCUCCGUCAAAACUAAUCAACCAAAGACUUAGGAGUAAGAAGCCCUUUAAUCUUAGCACUCACAAGAACCAAAGAAUCUUACCAAACACGAGGGUUCGCACUGAACCUGCUAGUCUGUCUAACCAAAGAACUUGUACUAAUGUUAUGUAUCAGUAGUCCAUUUGAUCUUUACCCUGCACAGUAUUAUAACGGCCUAGCAGUGUCUCUUCACUGCCAAGGUCGUUGCUGCACUAAAAGACCCCAUCCAAAUUUAACUGCCGCUUCAAAUUUAGCUCCACAGCACCAAAAGUCUGCAACCUUUCCACAGUCAAGCGUCCGUGGCUCCCUCUGGACAGCUUCCUGUAGUUGCCACUCCAUUCAUUAGUAAUUUUGAGUUCCCUAAGCUUAAGUUUGUUCUUUCAGAUCUCUCUCACGGUCUUUUGUUUUCUAUUUGCACCAAAUUCACAGGGAAAGGCAACUUCCCUUCCCUACAUUGGGUCUUACAGCACUUAACCAAAGGUUCUUUUAACUUAUAGGGUUCACCAAAGCUCCCCCUCUAUGUGUAUCUCACUCUUUUAUAGAACUAAGAUUAAGAAUUAGAUCUCUGUUCAAGUUACCUAAUUAGGGUUAAUCUUGUCUGUCGCCAGUCCAAAGAUCUCACUAGGUUAUGUUUUCUUAUCUAAAAAUACAAAAAAAAAAUCAACAGCUACAGCUACUAACCAAAUAUGUAUUACUACUAGUCAGGUAUUUGAUCUAGUGUUUCGUCGUCGGUCUAGUCACAGACCCCAAAGAUCUCAGUGUGCCUCGUGCAUUAGUUAGUCAGCACCUGGCCGCCUUGUAUUAGCCUAAGAACAUUGUACCUGUGUGCGUAAGAUUGCGUGAAUGUAUGUAUGUUUGUACGUGUGGAAUGCUGAGUUCAGAGUGUGGCGUGCUGUCCAUUGCUGAGGUGAGGUUACUGAGGCUCUCCCACAGCACAUGCAGCACUCGCCACUCGCUCAGCACUCACCUGGUUGACCUGGCUCUCUAGUCAUUAUUUAUUUCCCACGCGUUUACCUGGUAUUCAGUAUUACGUCCUUGUACUGAUCUAGUCACUACAUAUAUAUAUUUGUAGUACCAAAGAGUCCCCAGAGUAUAUAUUUAUGUAUUUUUGUGAAUAAAAAUAUCUAAAACACGAAA